GCUGAAAUUACUUGCACAGCGUCGGUGAUGGAUUAGUCCCUGGUUAAAGUAACUGAGCUGAACCCACAGAUGCCGAAUUACACGGGAGGGAGUUCUGAUAUCCACCCCGCUGCGCUCCAGAGAGCAACUGGAUUUAAAGCCCCGACUCUAGCCCUGUAAAUUACAGAACACAAGUGCCGUGCCAGCGCAGUCGGUUGCAGGGGAGCAGUCAGUCACAGCACUACAGCCCUCCUGGAGCCGAGCUGGAAAUUGCCUGGGAGGACCCAGAGCUUGUUUGUGGACCCAGCUACUAUGCUUGAUCUUCUCGUAGAGCAGAGGCUG
RNAcentral lists this long non-coding RNA (321 nucleotides) under Anas platyrhynchos platyrhynchos (common mallard). RNAcentral describes it as "lncRNA (ENSAPLG00000021991.1)". Lineage: Eukaryota; Metazoa; Chordata; Aves; Anseriformes; Anatidae. The record is from RNAcentral.